This is a non-coding RNA of Hyla sarda, 76 nucleotides long. The record is from the annotation of a RefSeq genome assembly. NCBI's taxonomy places the organism in Eukaryota, Metazoa, Chordata, Amphibia, Anura, Hylidae.
GCUCCAGUGGCGCAAUCGGUCAGCGCGCGCGGUACUUAUAAUGCCGAGGUUGUGAGUUCGAGCCUCACCUGGAGAA